GCUCGAGCAGCGGCCGGAGCUCGCCGCGGCGGCGCUCGCGUCGCUGCCGGGCGCGCCGGACGAUUCGGAUUCGGCGCGCGAGCU
RNAcentral lists this transfer RNA (84 nucleotides) under Burkholderia oklahomensis. Its description in RNAcentral is "tRNA-Ala(cgc)". Lineage: Bacteria; Pseudomonadati; Pseudomonadota; Betaproteobacteria; Burkholderiales; Burkholderiaceae. The record is from RNAcentral.